Molecule: long non-coding RNA, 852 nt
Filed under: Homo sapiens (human)
Lineage: Eukaryota; Metazoa; Chordata; Mammalia; Primates; Hominidae
Description: non-protein coding lnc-ZC3H12C-3:1
Source: RNAcentral
AUGUCCAAAGCCCUUGAUGUCCUGCAACUGAAGGAGAAGGAUGUCCUUAAAUUCCUUGCAGCAGGAACUCAUUUAGGUGGCACCAACCUUGAUUUCCAGAGGAAAAGUGACAGCAUCUACAUCAUCAGUCUGAAGAGGAUCUGGGAGAAGCUUCUGCUGACAGCUCAUCUAUUGUUGCCAUUGAAAACACUGCUGAUGUCAGUGUCAUGUCCUCCAGGAAUCCUGGCCAGUGGGUUGUGCUCAAAUUUGCUACUGCCACUGGAGCAAAUCCUAUUGCUAGCUGCUUUACUCCUGGAACCUUCACUAACCCAAUCCAGGCAGCCUUCCAGGAGCCGUGUUUUUUGGUGGUUACUGAUCCCAGGGCUAACCACCAGCUUUUCACAGAGACAUCUUAUGGUAACCUGCCUACCAUUGCUCUGUGUUCCACAGAUUCUCCUCUGUGCUCUGUGGGCAUCUCCAUCCCAUGCAACAAUAAGGGAGUUCACUCAGUGGGUCUGAUGUGGUGGAGACUGGCCCAGGAAGUUCUGCACACAAGUGGCACCAUCUCCUGUGAACACUCAUCAAGGUCAUGCCUGAUUUCUACUUCCAUGGAGAUCCUGAAGAGAUUGAAAAGGAAGAACAGGCUGCUGCUGAAAAGACUGUGACCAAGGAGGAAUUUCAGAGUGAAUGGACUACCCUAGCUCCUGACUCCACUGCUACUCAACCAGAGGUUGCAGACUGGUCUGAAGGCAAGCAGGUGCCCCUGUGGCCAUUCAGCAGGUUUCGACUGAAAACUACAGCAUUCAACCUGCUAUGGAAGAAUGGUCUGCAGCUCCCCUGACUCAGGCCACUGAAGGGGUAGGAACCACCACC